AAGGAGCACCACGAAAUGGGGUGCGCACUGGGCGCAUUCCGAGCCGUGAGGAGUUCUCGCCUGUAGUGGGUGGGGGCUGGGUGCACAACAACGUUGAAAACAAGAUCGCCGGCACACUGUUGGGUCCUGAGGCAACACCUGUGUGUUGUCGCCUCGCUUGGUGGUGGGGUGUGGUGUUUGAGUUGUGGAUAGUGGUUGCGAGCAUCUGAAACCAAAAGCNGUUGUUUGNCGGUUUUUGUCGAGUGUUUAGAGAGUAAGAGAG
RNAcentral lists this unclassified non-coding RNA (262 nucleotides) under Mycobacterium terrae. RNAcentral describes it as "Mycolicibacter terrae miscellaneous RNA". The record is from RNAcentral. Lineage: Bacteria; Bacillati; Actinomycetota; Actinomycetes; Mycobacteriales; Mycobacteriaceae.